CACCCAGUGACCUAAUUGGUUAGAGCAUCUGCCUUGGAUGUGGGAGGUCAUGGGUUUGAACUCCAGCUGAGUCA
Potamilus streckersoni is the source of this 74-nucleotide non-coding RNA. Lineage: Eukaryota; Metazoa; Mollusca; Bivalvia; Unionida; Unionidae. The record is from the annotation of a GenBank genome assembly.